UUAAAAAUGCUAAUCAAUGAAAAUUGAAAAUUGAUAAUAGUAUAGUCCUGUAAAGGAUAGGUGGACUCUGGGGUCUGCAUCACUGACCAAAAACUAUAUGGACUGCGCGCGCCUCGUUUUCAAUACAGGCUUUAAGAGCGCUACCCUGUUGACUGGCGGGAGUGCCCCAGCCGCCACAUUGGAAAGGCCAGGUCACAGCUGACUGGCGAAGUUACCAGUUCACUUUCCACUGGCCUCUUUAGCCUCAGGCACUCACUGUGCUGUUUUCGUCUUCUAAAUUAUUAUUUUUGCACGUCUAAGAUGCCCGGGUGCACUGCUUGGAAGUGUUCUAGGCGAAGAACACCGAGGAAAGGAAGAAAGGCUAUACUUUUCACAAGUUCCCACUUGGAGAUCCAGACAGAUCAAAGAGGUGGUUGGCAAGCCUGAGGAGGGAAGGAUUUUCAGCCCACCAGGAAUACAGUGAUUUGCUAUGCUCACUUCGAUGACAAGUGCUUUGACAGAACAGACCAGACUGUUCGAUUGAGACCUGAUGCUGCGCCCACCCUGUUCGAUUUUCCACCCCAUCUCCAGAAGACACCUGUACUGUAACGCCAAGGCGUCAUGCUGAACGCAGAACCGUGGCUCAGCCAGAAACUACUCCCAGUGCUGAUCAAGAGGAGGCUGGAGAGAGUGUGGGUCCAUCUUCAGUCAUCAGUGACGACCACAGUUAUGCGACUGUAUGUGUAUGUGCUCAUUUUGUAACGAUGUGUAAGCGUGCGCGUGUGAUAUAAGCAAAUAGACGUUGGUGCGUUGGUGUGUGUGUCGCGUGCGUGAAUAUUGUUCAUACAUGCAUUUAUGCGUGCUGAAAAACUUGGCGAUACUCGCUGUGGCUCUCAUUGUGUGUGUGUGGCGUGCGUGAAUAUUGUUCGUACAUGCAUUUAUAUAAGCGCCUAGAGCUGUGUUUA
Long non-coding RNA from Aplysia californica (California sea hare), 944 nucleotides. RefSeq lists it as uncharacterized. The transcript has 3 exons. NCBI's taxonomy places the organism in Eukaryota, Metazoa, Mollusca, Gastropoda, Aplysiida, Aplysiidae. The record is from RefSeq and is a predicted model, not a curated record.